Molecule: ribosomal RNA, 722 nt
Filed under: uncultured bacterium
Lineage: Bacteria
Description: bacterial SSU rRNA
Rfam family: Bacterial small subunit ribosomal RNA
Source: RNAcentral
AGAUUCACUUCGGUGAUGACGCUGGGAACGCGAGCGGCGGAUGGGUGAGUAACACGUGGGUAACCUGCCCUAAAGUCUGGGAUACCACUUGGAAACAGGUGCUAAUACCGGAUAACAACAAUAGCUGCAUGGCUAUUGCUUAAAAGGCGGCGAAAGCUGUCGCUAAAGGAUGGACCCGCGGUGCAUUAGCUAGUUGGUAAGGUAAUGGCUUACCAAGGCGACGAUGCAUAGCCGAGUUGAGAGACUGAUCGGCCACAUUGGGACUGAGACACGGCCCAAACUCCUACGGGAGGCAGCAGUAGGGAAUCUUCCACAAUGGGCGAAAGCCUGAUGGAGCAACGCCGCGUGAGUGAAGAAGGUUUUCGGAUCGUAAAGCUCUGUUGUUGGUGAAGAAGGAUAGAGGUAGUAACUGGCCCCUAUUUGACGGUAAUCAACCAGAAAGUCACGGCUAACUACGUGCCAGCAGCCGCGGUAAUACGUAGGUGGCAAGCGUUGUCCGGAUUUAUUGGGCGUAAAGCGAGCGCAGGCGGAAAGAUAAGUCUGAUGUGAAAGCCCCCGGCUUAACCGAGGAAUUGCAUCGGAAACUGUGUUUCUUGAGUGCAGAAGAGGAGAGUGGAACUCCAUGUGUAGCGGUGGAAUGCGUAGAUAUAUGGAAGAACACCAGUGGCGAAGGCGGCUCUCUGGUCUGUAACUGACGCUGAGGCUCGAAAGCAUGGGUAGCG